GUCGAACGCUGGCGGCGUGCCUAAUACAUGCAAGUCGAACGCAGUGGGGACGGUUGAGUAACACGUGGGUAACCUCCCAUCAGAGGGGAUAACACUUGGAAACAGGUGCUAAACCGAUACUGAUGGAUGGACCCGCGGUGCAUUAGCUAGUUGGUGAGGUAACGCCUCACCAAGGCCACGAUGCUUAGCCGACCUGAGAGGGUGAUCGGCCACACUGGGACUGAGACACGGCCCAGACUCCUACGGGAGGCAGCAGUAGGGAAUCUUGGGCAAUGGACGAAAGCCUGACCUAGCAACGCCGCGUGAGUGAAGAAGGUUUUCGGAUCGUAAAGCUCUUUUGUUAGAGAGGCGGUAUCUAACCAGAAAGCCACGGCUAACUACGUGCCAGCAGCCGCGGUAAUUC
RNAcentral lists this ribosomal RNA (403 nucleotides) under uncultured bacterium. RNAcentral's name for it is "partial 16S ribosomal RNA". It matches the Rfam family "Bacterial small subunit ribosomal RNA", at positions 28 to 526 of the family's 1533-position model. The record is from RNAcentral.